GAAAUUCCCUUCGGGGCUUUUCUGCAAGGUGCUGCAUGGUUGUCGUCAGCUCGUGCCGUGAGGUGUCGGGUUAAGUCCCAUAACGAGCGCAACCCUUAUCGUUAGUUGCCAGCUGGUAAAGCAGGGGACUCUAGCGAAACUGCCACCGUAAGGUGAGAGGAAGGUGGGGAUGACGUCAAAUCAGCACGGCCCUUAUGUCCAGGGCUACACACGUGUUACAAUGGCCGGCAUAAAGGGAGGCAAACCGUGAGGUGGAGCAAAUCUCAAAAUCCGGCCCCAGUUCGGAUUGGAGGCUGCAAUUCGCCUCCAUGAAGUUGGAAUCGCUAGUAAUCGCGUGUCAGCUACAACGCGGUGAAUGUGUUCCUGAGCCUU
This 372-nucleotide ribosomal RNA is filed under the name uncultured Sphingobacteriales bacterium. RNAcentral describes it as "bacterial SSU rRNA". It matches the Rfam family "Bacterial small subunit ribosomal RNA", at positions 1010 to 1382 of the family's 1533-position model. The record is from RNAcentral. Lineage: Bacteria; Pseudomonadati; Bacteroidota; Sphingobacteriia; Sphingobacteriales.